Molecule: RNA transcript, 392 nt
Organism: Nicotiana tabacum (common tobacco)
Lineage: Eukaryota; Viridiplantae; Streptophyta; Magnoliopsida; Solanales; Solanaceae
Source: RefSeq, a predicted model, not a curated record
CAGGCUUUGAAUCAGGUAGCGGCAGUUUAUUGAGAACAAUGUUCUCGAUCCCAAAAUGAGCUGCAUCGAUACGAGGCCGACCUACAACGGGCUAUUGACGAGAGGAACUCCUUUAGACUUUCCUUAGGGCAGAGAGAAGAGGAAAUAAAAGACCUCCGAGAUGAGCUGGCCAAGGCUUAUCAAGAUCAGACCGAUUUGUCUAAGCAGCUGCAGCAAAAAAUCGAGAUGAUCGGGAAGCUUCGUGAGGAGGUCGGCGUGAUAAGAAUGGAGUCUUUGCGGUGCCCAUCCAUAUACCAACUCGAAACCAAGAACGCGAAAGAAGGUAUGGACCGCUUUGCUGCAGAAAAAGAGACUGCUCGAGCCCAGUUAUCAUCGUCCGAAACCCAACUUCA